This is a long non-coding RNA of Fukomys damarensis (Damara mole-rat), 476 nucleotides long. RefSeq lists it as uncharacterized. The transcript is spliced from 3 exons. Lineage: Eukaryota; Metazoa; Chordata; Mammalia; Rodentia; Bathyergidae. The record is from RefSeq and is a predicted model, not a curated record.
GUGGGUGCCCGUGGGGUGCAGAACCCUAUUGGGCUAAGUCCUACACAUCUUUCGAAUUCUGGUUCUAUAUCCACCUUCUCCGAGGCUGCUUUCUAGAUGGCACCAGUUUUGAGUGAUACGGGUCCCAGGUUUUGCAGGAUGAUCCUACCCUGGAAUGUUUCUGAAGAUUUUCCAUAUAUUUCGGUUGGUGUUAAGGGUUCAGGGGAGGCAAGCCACAGAGGUGAAGUGCUUUUCUCCUCGCAUCUUAUCAAGGGUGAUAUCUCAUCUUCACAAUAAGGGAGCACAGAUCCAAAUUUGUUGCAGAGAAAGGGAGGAUCCUCAAGUAAUGAGUCUGGUCCAUGCUGCAUAGGAUAAGUUCUGCAACCCCAGGCAAAGACCUCACUCUGAUGUACAUUUGGCUUCUACUUAAAAGUUCAGAAGCAAAGUAUCACGGAAAAGCCCUGCUCAUAUGCUACCUUCCUUAUUCAGAACAGGAA